Long non-coding RNA from Labeo rohita (rohu), 2317 nucleotides. RefSeq lists it as uncharacterized. The transcript is spliced from 3 exons. NCBI's taxonomy places the organism in Eukaryota, Metazoa, Chordata, Actinopteri, Cypriniformes, Cyprinidae. The record is from RefSeq and is a predicted model, not a curated record.
AAAGUCAUUGUGAAAUAGAAAAGAAAAAGCAUGAGAUGUUGAGAUGUACCUUUGAGCUAUUUCAGAGAACUGCUUUAUCAUUGGUUGAUCUGUAGUCUCGACAUUAGCAAAAGUCAAUAUUCACUUGAACAGUUCAUGGCAAAUCUACAAAAAGUCUUAUAGAAAUGUGUAGAGUAUGCUUGACAGUUUAUGACAACUGGAUCAAAAAUUUAGCAUUUACUGCAAAUACAUAUACGAUGAGCUAAUGCCUUGAUGUUUUAAGGGGUAAGACUAUAGCAACAACAAUAAGAAGUGAUAAUGUAGGAAAUAGCAGACAAAUCAGUUGCAUAAUCAGUUGCAUGAAUGUACCAAAGCAAACGCAACUUGUUAAAAAAAAAAAAAAAGAAACAUUUUAUGAUAUGUACAAGUGACUAGACGAUGUGGAGGUUGAACAAGUAGUAUUGAGAAUGUCAUUUCUGAUCUGAGAAAUGCACCAAACUGUAAGCUGACUUUGGCCCUUUUAUCUCCAUCGAAGGUUCUGAUUGGUGUGUGACAAAUUUUGAGUCCUAGUGUUUCCAUUUGGGUAAUUGUUUUCUAAUUGAGCUCAAACUUUGCAGACUUCAGUUAACAAUAUUGAAUGCUAGUGCUUUCUAAAUGAUCACAUGGUGUAAGCGCUGAGAAAUGUAGGGAUUUGUGUGUAGAGUUUUGCAGUAACAGUUCACCAAAUCUGACUCAUGUGUUAAAGCAGGGAAAUAGUGUUUAUAGUUCAGGGAAAUGGGUGUGCUUUUUGAAAAAUGCCAUUAUGGUUUUGAAAUUUUAGUUCAAAAGACUGGUUAUAGUGUUUUAGCAAUCGAGAAAAACUGUAACAAAAUAUUUGACGUAAAGAGCAACAUCGUAAGACAACACGCCUUCAAAAAUGUCGUGACCAAGGCAAGGUGGCAAGCCAGGUUGGCAAACUUUAAAGUUCUUCAAAGAGUUGAAAACUGAAUCAAACUUUAUGCCUUGAACGGUUUCAUUUUCGGUCUGUAAUUGGUUAACAACAGCACUGCAGUUUUCAACAGUGCGCAGUGGACCACACAAAUUUGGGUCAACACUCUGGAAUUCUUCUUUAGUAAUUAGACAGUACCUACAAAAAUAGCUUGACUAACUAAAAUUUUCAGUGAAUCCACCUAUGCAGUGGGAUCCCAAAUUGUCUCCGGCAAUGCAGUAAAGUGUGCCUUUUAUAAUAGAUUGAUCUGACAAAGCAAUUCCAUUUUCCUCAAGGUCUUUCAGGUCUGUUACUAGCUCUGAGAAAACACUUUCAUGGCCAAAGUCUUUAAAGUCUUUUUCUCUGCACAACAUAACCAGCUGCAUAUGUUCUGUGUUUGACCUGAGAUGAACUGGCAAAUUGACAAGAGAAAGGUAUACGGCCAAAAUUUUGUGUUUUUUUUCGUGCAGACCCUAAAGGGUUGACCACCUCAAAAGCAUCCUGAUAGAGCAGUAGCUGGAGGUUUGGGAUGUCUUGAGAGAAAUUCCUGCACUUCAGUAUUUGGCCAUCUGAGCAAUCACAAAGUACAUCAGCAGAGUUUUUUUCAGGCAGGUGCAUUGAAAUGCACUUCCUUCCAAAAUCUGAAUUCAGCAGACACUUCAAUGUGUCUUUCACAGGUACAUAGUAUGCAAAUUGCUCUGUCCGGUUCUCAUCUCUACCUAGAAGUAUUCUUUUUGGUUCAACGUAUUGAAACACUUUUUUAAAGGUCUGACUCCUUGAAUACUCUGUUCGCAUUGGUCCUUUAUGACACACAGAAAACAAGUCUGAUUCCUUCACAGUAGCAAAGAUUUGAGAAAUAGUCUCAUUAGGUAAUGACAAAUUCUCCAAAAGUGAAUGUAGCUUACUAAAAGUAUAUGUCUGUCCCAAUUCAUGAAUAUUUUGCAUUUCAUCUACAAUAUUUUGUAUUGUAGAAGCUGGAAGAAGAAACUGUCCUUGUAAUUUCAUAUAAAACAGGCUCACAUUUCUUAAAUACAAAUCAUCAAAAUUUUGAAAUGAGCCCAUUUCACUUACUUCACACUCACCUGUAUUUGAAUCCAGGUCAUCAGGACACUGCUCUGAUGUAACUGACAGUAUCUCUGAUGCAGAAGGCCGAUGUGAAUCAGUAAUGCUGUUAACUGAACAGUUCCUGUGCUUCCUAGACAUAUGAGAGGCCUUCAUAGAGAUGGUGAGAGAAAAAACAGGACUGGAGAAAGUCAACAUUGAGAAUAUUUGGAGCGUGUAUGACACAUUGUUCUGUGAGAAAACACAUAAUAUCACACAUCCUGGCUGGGUUAACCAAAGUGUGAUGGAGACGCUGAAGGUCUUGAAUGA